RNAcentral lists this ribosomal RNA (254 nucleotides) under uncultured bacterium. RNAcentral's name for it is "partial 16S ribosomal RNA". It matches the Rfam family "Bacterial small subunit ribosomal RNA", at positions 524 to 776 of the family's 1533-position model. The record is from RNAcentral.
UACGGGGGGAGCAAGCGUUGUUCGGAUUUACUGGGCGUAAAGGGCGCGUAGGCGGUUAGCACAAGUCAGUUGUGAAAUCUCCGGGCUUAACUCGGAAAGGUCAACUGAUACUGUGCGGCUAGAGUGCGGAAGGGGCAACUGGAAUUCUCGGUGUAGCGGUGAAAUGCGUAGAUAUCGAGAGGAACACCGGCGGCGAAGGCGGGUUGCUGGGCCGACACUGACGCUGAUGCGCGAAAGCCAGGGGAGCGAACGGG